ACAGCAGUCGCCGCGGGAAUACGUAGGUGGCGAGCGUUGUCCGGAAUUAUUGGGCGUAAAGGGAGCGCAGGCGGACAUAUAAGUCCAUCUUAAAAGUGCGGGGCUCAACCCCGUGAGGGGAUGGAAACUGUAUGCCUUGAGUGCAGGAGAGGAAAGCGGAAUUCCCAGUGUAGCGGUGAAAUGCGUAGAUAUUAGGAGGAAUACCAGUGGCGAAGGCGACUUUCAGGACUGCAACUGACACUGAGGCACGAAAGCGUGGGGAGCAAACAGGAUUAGAUACCCGAGUAGUCCCUGUCUCUUAUACA
RNAcentral lists this ribosomal RNA (305 nucleotides) under uncultured bacterium. Its description in RNAcentral is "partial 16S ribosomal RNA". It matches the Rfam family "Bacterial small subunit ribosomal RNA", at positions 508 to 808 of the family's 1533-position model. The record is from RNAcentral.